RNAcentral lists this ribosomal RNA (885 nucleotides) under uncultured Bacillota bacterium. Its description in RNAcentral is "bacterial SSU rRNA". It matches the Rfam family "Bacterial small subunit ribosomal RNA", at positions 58 to 919 of the family's 1533-position model. The record is from RNAcentral. Lineage: Bacteria; Bacillati; Bacillota.
CAAGUCGAACGCGAAAGCUCCCUUCGGGGAGCAAGUAGAGUGGCGCACGGGUGAGUAACACGUAGGUAAUCUACCUUUGGAUGGGGAAUAACAACCGGAAACGGUUGCUAAUACCGCAUAAUGCAGCGGCACCUAAUGGUGACAGUUGUUAAAGCGGGGGAUCGCAAGACCUCGCGUCUGAAGAGGAGCCUGCGGCAGAUUAGCUAGUUGGUAGGGUAACGGCUUACCAAGGCGAUGAUCUGUAGCCGGCCUGAGAGGGCGGUCGGCCACACUGACACUGACAUACGGGUCAGACUCCUACGGGAGGCAGCAGUCGGGAAUUUUGGGCAAUGGGCGAAAGCCUGACCCAGCAACGCCGCGUGAAGGAUGAAAUCCCUCGGGAUGUAAACUUCGCAAGAACGGGAAGAAUAAGUAAGGGUUAAUAUCUCUUACGAUGACGGUACUGUUUGUAAGCUCCGGCUAACUCCGUGCCAGCAGCCGCGGUAAUACGGGGGGAGCAAGCGUUGUUCGGAUUUACUGGGCGUAAAGGGCGCGUAGGCGGCCUCUGCAAGUCGACUGUGAAAUCUCCGGGCUUAACCCGGAACGGUCAGCCGAUACUGCAGGGCUAGAGUGCAGAAGGGGCAACUGGAAUUCUCGGUGUAGCGGUGAAAUGCGUANAUAUCGAGAGGAACACCUGCGGCGAAGGCGGGUUGCUGGGCUGACACUGACGCUGAUGCGCGAAAGCUAGGGGAGCGAACGGGAUUAGAUACCCCGGUAGUCCUAGCCUUAAACGAUGAAUGCUUGGUGUCUGGGGUUUUAUAGUCCCCGGGUGCCGUCGCUAACGCUUUAAGCAUUCCGCCUGGGGAGUACGGUCGCAAGACUGAAACUCAAAGGAAUUGACGGGGA